GAGCGUCAAUUGUAACAAGAGGUUCGAUUAUGAAAACCAGAUUGAACGCUGGGCGGGAUGCUUUACAUGCAAGUCGAACGGCAGCACGGACUUCGGUCUGGUGGCGAGUGGCGAACAGGUGAGUAAUGUAUCGGAACGUGCCUAGUGGCGGGGGGAUAAUACAUGGCGUAGCUAAUACCGCAUGCGCCCUUCGAGGAAAGCGGGGGACCUUCCGGAAUGCUAUUAAGGCGGCGAUAUCGGAUUAGCUAGUUGGUGGGAGUAACGGCUCACCAAAGGCGACGAUCCGUAGCUAUUGAUUUAAGAGGACGACCAACCACACUGGGACUGAACUGCGGCCAGACUCCUACGGGAGGCAGCAGUGGGGAAUUUUUUUGGACAAUGAAACCUGAUCCAGCCAUCCCACGUGUGCGAUGAAGGCCUUCGGGUUGUAAAGCACUUUUGGCAGGAAAGAAACGGCACGGGAUAAUACCCCGUGCAACUGACGGUACCUGCAGAAUAAGCACCGGCUAACUACGUGCCAGCAGCCGCGGUAAUGACACGUAGGGUGCAAGCGUUAAAUCGGAAUUACUGGGCGUAAAGCGUGCGCGAACGGUUCCGGAAGAAAGAUAUGUGAAAUCCCAGGCUUAACUUUGGAACUGCAUUUUUAACUACCGAGCUAGAGUGUGUCAGAGGGAGAGUGGAAUUCCACGUCGUAGCAGUGAAAUGCGUAGACUAUGCGGAAGAAUUCCCGAUAGCGACAGCCUCCUGGGAUAACACUGACGCUCAUGCACGGCGGGAGCAAACGGGAUUAGAUACCCUGGUAGUCCACGCCCUAAACGAUGUCAACUAGCUGUUGGGGCCUUCGGGCCUUGGUAGCGCAGCUAACGCGUGAGUUGCCGCCUGGGGGAGAUGCGGUCACCAGAUUAAAACUCAAAAGGGAAUUGACGAGGCCACACAAGCGGUGGAUGAUGUGGAUUAAUUCGUGCAACGCGAAAAACCCUACCCUUGACAUGUCUGGAAUCCCGAAGAGAUUUGGGAGUGCUCACCGAAGAACCGGAACAGGUGCUGCAUGGCUGUCGUCAGCUCGUGUCGUGAGAUGUUGGUUAAGUCCCGCAACGAGCGUAACCGCCGUCAUAGUUGCUACGAAGGGCACUCUAAUGGAGACUGCCAGUGGCAUAAACCGGAGGAAGGUGGGGAUGACGUCAAGUCCCUCUGGCCCUUAUGGGUAGGGCUUCACACGUCAUACAAUGGUCGGGACAGAGGGUCGCCAACCCGCGAGGGAGCCAAUCCCAGAAACCCGAUCUUCAGUCCGGAUCGCAGUCUGCAACUCGUUCCGUAAGUCGGAAUCGCUAGUAAUCGCGGAUCAGCAUGUCGCGGUGAAUACGUUCCCGGUCUUGUACCUGCCGCCCGUCCACCAUGAGUGGGUUUUACCAAAGUAGUUAGCUGUAAGGAGAAGGGCGAUUACCACACGGUAGGAUUCAACGACCUGGGGUGAAGUCGUAACAAAGGUAG
Molecule: ribosomal RNA, 1491 nt
Filed under: uncultured Bordetella sp.
Lineage: Bacteria; Pseudomonadati; Pseudomonadota; Betaproteobacteria; Burkholderiales; Alcaligenaceae
Description: partial 16S-23S ribosomal RNA intergenic spacer
Rfam family: Bacterial small subunit ribosomal RNA
Source: RNAcentral